This 549-nucleotide ribosomal RNA is filed under the name uncultured bacterium. RNAcentral describes it as "bacterial SSU rRNA". It matches the Rfam family "Bacterial small subunit ribosomal RNA", at positions 356 to 896 of the family's 1533-position model. The record is from RNAcentral.
GGGGAAUCUUCCGCAAUGGACGAAAGUCUGACGGAGCAACGCCGCGUGAGUGAUGACGGCCUUCGGGUUGUAAAGCUCUGUUAAUCGGGACGAAUGGUUCUUGUGCAAAUAGUGCGAGGAUUUGACGGUACCGGAAUAGAAAGCCACGGCUAACUACGUGCCAGCAGCCGCGGUAAUACGUAGGUGGCAAGCGUUGUCCGGAAUUAUUGGGCGUAAAGCGCGCGCAGGCGAAUUGGUCAGUCUGUCUUAAAAGUUCGGGGCUUAACCCCGUGAUGGGAUGGAAACUGCCAAUCUAGAGUAUCGGAGAGGAAAGUGGAAUUCCUAGUGUAGCGGUGAAAUGCGUAGAUAUUAGGAAGAACACCAGUGGCGAAGGCGACUUUCUGGACGAAAACUGACGCUGAGGCGCGAAAGCCAGGGGAGCGAACGGGAUUAGAUACCCCGGUAGUCCUGGCCGUAAACGAUGGGUACUAGGUGUAGGAGGUAUCGACCCCUUCUGUGCCGGAGUUAACGCAAUAAGUACCCCGCCUGGGGAGUACGACCGCAAGGUUG